This 1585-nucleotide ribosomal RNA is filed under the name Salmonella enterica subsp. enterica serovar Enteritidis. RNAcentral's name for it is "partial 23S ribosomal RNA". It matches the Rfam family "Bacterial large subunit ribosomal RNA", at positions 1292 to 2855 of the family's 2925-position model. Lineage: Bacteria; Pseudomonadati; Pseudomonadota; Gammaproteobacteria; Enterobacterales; Enterobacteriaceae. The record is from RNAcentral.
GAAUGCUGACAUAAGUAACGAUAAAGCGGGUGAAAAGCCCGCUCGCCGGAAGACCAAGGGUUCCUGUCCAACGUUAAUCGGGGCAGGGUGAGUCGACCCCUAAGGCGAGGCCGAAAGGCGUAGUCGAUGGGAAACGGGUUAAUAUUCCCGUACUUGGUGUUACUGCGAAGGGGGGACGGAGAAGGCUAUGUUGGCCGGGCGACGGUUGUCCCGGUUUAAGCGUGUAGGUGUGUGUUCCAGGUAAAUCCGGUUCACUUUAACACUGAGGCGUGACGACGAGGCACUACGGUGCUGAAGCAACAAAUGCCCUGCUUCCAGGAAAAGCCUCUAAGCAUCAGGUAACAUCAAAUCGUACCCCAAACCGACACAGGUGGUCAGGUAGAGAAUACCAAGGCGCUUGAGAGAACUCGGGUGAAGGAACUAGGCAAAAUGGUGCCGUAACUUCGGGAGAAGGCACGCUGACACGUAGGUGAAGUGAUUUACUCAUGGAGCUGAAGUCAGUCGAAGAUACCAGCUGGCUGCAACUGUUUAUUAAAAACACAGCACUGUGCAAACACGAAAGUGGACGUAUACGGUGUGACGCCUGCCCGGUGCCGGAAGGUUAAUUGAUGGGGUCAGCGCAAGCGAAGCUCCUGAUCGAAGCCCCGGUAAACGGCGGCCGUAACUAUAACGGUCCUAAGGUAGCGAAAUUCCUUGUCGGGUAAGUUCCGACCUGCACGAAUGGCGUAAUGAUGGCCAGGCUGUCUCCACCCGAGACUCAGUGAAAUUGAACUCGCUGUGAAGAUGCAGUGUACCCGCGGCAAGACGGAAAGACCCCGUGAACCUUUACUAUAGCUUGACACUGAACAUUGAGCCUUGAUGUGUAGGAUAGGUGGGAGGCUUUGAAGUGUGGACGCCAGUCUGCAUGGAGCCGACCUUGAAAUACCACCCUUUAAUGUUUGAUGUUCUAACGUGGACCCGUUACCCGGGUUGCGGACAGUGUCUGGUGGGUAGUUUGACUGGGGCGGUCUCCUCCUAAAGAGUAACGGAGGAGCACGAAGGUUGGCUAAUCCUGGUCGGACAUCAGGAGGUUAGUGCAAUGGCAUAAGCCAGCUUGACUGCGAGCGUGACGGCGCGAGCAGGUGCGAAAGCAGGUCAUAGUGAUCCGGUGGUUCUGAAUGGAAGGGCCAUCGCUCAACGGAUAAAAGGUACUCCGGGGAUAACAGGCUGAUACCGCCCAAGAGUUCAUAUCGACGGCGGUGUUUGGCACCUCGAUGUCGGCUCAUCACAUCCUGGGGCUGAAGUAGGUCCCAAGGGUAUGGCUGUUCGCCAUUUAAAGUGGUACGCGAGCUGGGUUUAGAACGUCGUGAGACAGUUCGGUCCCUAUCUGCCGUGGGCGCUGGAGAACUGAGGGGGGCUGCUCCUAGUACGAGAGGACCGGAGUGGACGCAUCACUGGUGUUCGGGUUGUCAUGCCAAUGGCACUGCCCGGUAGCUAAAUGCGGAAGAGAUAAGUGCUGAAAGCAUCUAAGCACGAAACUUGCCCCGAGAUGAGUUCUCCCUGAGACUUAAAGUCUCCUGAAGGAACGUUGAAGACGACGACGUUG